This 446-nucleotide ribosomal RNA is filed under the name uncultured bacterium. RNAcentral describes it as "partial 16S ribosomal RNA". It matches the Rfam family "Bacterial small subunit ribosomal RNA", at positions 338 to 795 of the family's 1533-position model. The record is from RNAcentral.
CCUACGGGUGGCAGCAGUCGAGAAUCAUUCACAAUGGGGGAAACCCUGAUGGUGCGACGCCGCGUGGGGGAAUGAAGGUCUUCGGAUUGUACACUCCUGUCAUGUGGGAGCAAAUUAAAAAGAUAGUACCACAUGAGGAAGAGACGGCUAACUCUGUGCCAGCAGCCGCGGUAAUACAGAGGGCUCAAGCGUUGUUCGGAAUCACUGGGCGUAAAGCGUGCGUAGGCUGUUUCGUAAGUCGUGUGUGAAAGGCGCGGGCUCAACCCGCGGACGGCACAUGAUACUGCGAGACUAGAGUAAUGGAGGGGGAACCGGAAUUCUCGGUGUAGCAGUGAAAUGCGUAGAUAUCGAGAGGAACACUCGUGGCGAAGGCGGGUGCCUGGACAUUAACUGACGCUGAGGCACGAAGGCCAGGGGAGCGAAAGGGAUUAGAUACCCUAGUAGUC